This is a long non-coding RNA of Gossypium arboreum, 327 nucleotides long. RefSeq lists it as uncharacterized. The record is from RefSeq and is a predicted model, not a curated record. The transcript is spliced from 2 exons. Lineage: Eukaryota; Viridiplantae; Streptophyta; Magnoliopsida; Malvales; Malvaceae.
GGGGUGAAAAGAACAAAGUUUUGUCCAUUUUUGUUCAUCAUAGCCUAAAGUUAGAGAAGAGAAAGGAGAGGAGAAAGCUCUUGAAUGUUCAGUCACUUGGGGAAGAAAAUUGAAGGAAAUCCCCAACCAUAGUAGGCUUCGAGCUGUGAGGGAAUUCGGAGUGGCCACCCGUUCUGAAAGUUUGGUUUUCUUCUAGUGAACUGGACAUCCUAUUAUUUACGUUGAGGUUUGGGUUUUAAAUGUAAUAAGGCCGCUUAAUUAUUUUUGAUGGUUUUAAUAUGUAUUACUAAGAUAUGUAUUAUUUAUUUUAACUGUUGAAAUUGGAUA